UUAAGAUACUAAGAGCAUACGGUGGAUGCCUUGGCGAUAUCUGCCGACGAAGGACGUGACAAGCUGCGAAAAGCUGCGGAGAGAUGCAAAUAAUCGGCGACCCGCAGACAUCCGAAUGGAGAAAUCCGGCUGUGAUGAUGCACAGCCAUCCAUGCCCAAGAGCAUGAGAAGGGAACCGGGCGAACUGAAACAUCUAAGUAACCCGAGGAAAAGAAAUCAAACGAGAUACCCCAAGUAGCGGCGAGCGAACAGGGAAGAAGCCCAAACCGGUGAAGGAAACUUUACCGGGGUUGAGGACCAUCAGAACCGCGAAGAACCUUAGCCGAAACUGUUGGGAAACAGUGCCGAAGACAGUGAAAGCCUGGUAGGCGAAAAAGAGAAACGCGGAGAUGGCACCAGAGUACCGCGGGACACGAGAAAUCCCGUGGGAAGCAGGGGGGACCACCCUCCAAGGCAAAACACAGAUAUCGACCGAUAGCGCAUAGUACCAUGAGGGAAAGGUGAAAAGCACCCCGGGAGGGGAAUGAAAGAGAACCUGAAACCGUAUGUUUACAAGCAGUCGGAGACCGCUUAAUAAUAAGGUCGACGGCGUGCCUAUUGAAGAAUGAACCGGCGAGUUACGAAGCCUGGCAAGGUUAAGCAGGAAAUGCGGAGCCGAAGCGAAAGCGAGUCUUAAGAGGGCGCAAGUCAGGAAGCGUAGACCCGAAACCACAGUGAUCUACCCAUGUCCAGGUUGAAACACAGGUAAAAAUGUGUGGAGGACCGAACCUAUAUCCGUUGAAAAGGGUUAGGAUGAGGUGUGGGUAGGGGUGAAAUUCCAAUCGAACGUGGAGAUAGCUGGUUCUCCCCGAAAUAGCUUUAGGGCUAGCCUCAGGGAAAAGAUUGCAGGCGGUAGAGCACUGAUCAGGAGAGGGACCUACCCGGUUACCAAACCCAGUCAAACUCCGAAUGGCUGCAAUCAUACCUGGGAGUCAGACUGCGACUAAUAAGGGCCGCAGUCAAAAGGGAAACAGCCCAGACCAUCAGCUAAGGUCCCCAAUGCCGUGCUAAGUGGAAAAGGAUGUGGCAUUUCAUAAACAACCAGGAUGUUGGCUCAGAAGCAGCCACCAUUUAAAGAGUGCGUAAUAGCUCACUGGUCGAGAGACGCUGCGCCGAAAAUGUCCGGGGCUCAAGCACGGAACCGAAGCUAUGGCAUGAUAGCAAUAUCAUGGGUAGGGGAGCGUUCUUAUAAGGAAGAAGCAUGACCGGAAGGACAUGUGGACGAAUAAGAAGUGAGAAUGCCGGUAUGAGUAUCGAAAAGAAAGGUGAGAAUCCUUUCCACCGAAAGCCCGAGGGUUCCUGAGCAACGAUCGUCGACUCAGGGUAAGUCGGGACCUAAGCCGAGGCGAGAAGCGUAGGCGAUGGACAACAGGUUGAAAUUCCUGUACCGGAUCAAGUCGAUCGAGCGAAGGAGCGACGCAGGAGGGCACAUGAUCGCGCGGCUGGAAGAGCGCGUCCAAGUGCGUAUGCUGCUGCAGAGGAAAACCCCUGCAGCUAAAAGCAGAGACAUGAUGGGGAGUUAAAGGAAACUUUGACGAACUCAUGGAUCCCACACUGCCAAGAAAAACUUCUAGCGAGACAAGAUCCGCCCGUACCGUAAACCGACACAGGUAGGCGGGGAGAGAAUCCUAAGGUGCGCGGGAAAACCCUCGUUAAGGAACUCGGCAAAUUGCAUCCGUAACCUAGGGAGAAGGAUGGCCCCCGGUCAGUGAAGAGCAGAAACGCUCAGAGCUAAAAGGGGCGGCAGAAAAGAGGCCCAAGCAACUGUUUACCAAAAACACAGGUGCCUGCGAAAGCGAAAGCUGAAGUAUAGGUGCUGACGCCUGCCCGGUGCCGGAAGGUUAAGGAGAGAAGUUAGCGAAAGCGAAGCAUCGAACUGAAGCCCCGGUGAACGGCGGCCGUAACUAUAACGGUCCUAAGGUAGCGAAAUUCCUUGUCGGGUAAG
Molecule: ribosomal RNA, 1984 nt
Filed under: human gut metagenome
Description: bacterial LSU rRNA
Rfam family: Bacterial large subunit ribosomal RNA
Source: RNAcentral